Molecule: ribosomal RNA, 424 nt
Filed under: Verrucomicrobiota bacterium
Lineage: Bacteria; Pseudomonadati; Verrucomicrobiota
Description: Verrucomicrobia bacterium partial 16S ribosomal RNA
Rfam family: Bacterial small subunit ribosomal RNA
Source: RNAcentral
UGAGGAAUAUUGGUCAAUGGACGCAAGUCUGAACCAGCCAAGUAGCGUGCAGGAUUACGGCCCUAUGGGUUGUAAACUGCUUUUAUAUGGGGAUAAAGUGGGGAACGUGUUCCCUUUUGCAGGUACCAUAUGAAUAAGGACCGGCUAAUUCCGUGCCAGCAGCCGCGGUAAUACGGAAGGUUCGGGCGUUAUCCGGAUUUAUUGGGUUUAAAGGGAGCGUAGGCCGUUUGGUAAGCGUGUUGUGAAAUGUAGGAGCUCAACUUCUAGAUUGCAGCGCGAACUGUCAGACUUGAGUGCGCACAACGUAGGCGGAAUUCAUGGUGUAUCGGUGAAAUGCUUAGAUAUCAUGAUGAACGCCGAUUGCGAAGGCAGCUUACGGGAGCGCAACUGACGCUGAAGCUCGAAGGUGCGGGUAUCGAACAGG